Molecule: long non-coding RNA, 3979 nt
Organism: Pongo pygmaeus (Bornean orangutan)
Lineage: Eukaryota; Metazoa; Chordata; Mammalia; Primates; Hominidae
Exons: 3
Source: RefSeq, a predicted model, not a curated record
AGUUCUCCCAGUUUACAACGGGGAAAGCCGCAGCCCAGAGGGCAGCUGUUGUUAAUUAGCGCUGGUGCACUUUUCUCCCCCAUCCCAUGCAGGCUCUGCCACACUGCUCCCUUUUAGGACUGAAUGUCCUACGAUCCCCACCGAAUGGAGAAGGACGCUAGAGGACUGGCCCCCGACCGCUCAGCCAGAAACAGGCUUUGAACCCUGCUGAACUCCGGUGGCACAGGCUGCGCGAGGCUUGCGUCUCCCCGGAAGGGCCGCUCCUCUCCGGUCAGCGAAAUCUCCUCCCCGCCCAGGAAUCUGGACAGCCCCUGCCAUUUGCCUGGGUGUUCCCCUACCCGAGUGCCCUCGAUUUUCCCCUCUGGCCCGGGCAGGAGCGGCAGGGCUGGAUGCCAGGGCCCCAGGGGCAGGGAGGUGAGUGGGCAAUGCUCCUUCCCCCGCGGGUAAGGCGGACACCCAGCCUCGGACCACAUCACAGACGCCCAGGGCCCCAGCCACAGCUGGGAUCACUCAGCUGGGUAAUGUCUCCACUUCCCGGCCGGGCCAGAGCUUUUCCAUCCUGCCAGGACUUUCAAGAAAACAGCUGUCUGGCUGAUGUUUUCACACACAGCCCUCAGAAGCCCCGUGAGGAAGGCGCUGUGGGCAGAAUGCUCAGAGAUGGGAAGUCGCUGCCCAAGGCCACACCACACAGCUGAGACCUAAACAGAGUGCUGAGACCUAAACGCUGGAUAUCUCCAGGGCUGUCCCAUUGAUAUCUUUCUUUUCUUUUUUUUUUUUUAAUUAUACUUUAAGUUCUAGGGUACAUGCGCACAACGUGCAGGUUUGUUACAUAUGUAUACAUGUGCCAUGUUGGUGUGCUGCACCCAUUAACUUGUCAUUUACAUUAGGUAUAUCUCCUAAUGCUUUCCCUCCCCCCUCCCCCCGAUAUCUUUCAAUAACAUGUGCACAGAGACAGCUGUCAGUGGGGACACUGCCUGGAUGCCGCCUGAACACUGCCUGGAUGGAGGACAGCUAGUUUGGCGUUCGCUUCAGAAUCAUCUGGGGGAGGGACAAUGGGAGUAUGGAGGAGAGAAGAUGGCUCCCAGGUGGAAGCUGGUGAUGGGCCCCAGGUGGGCACCCCAGGGCACCCUAGAGACAAAGUCUCGCUCUGUUGCCCAGGCUGGAGUGCAGUGGCGCGAUCUUGGCUCACUGCAACCUCUGCCUCCCAGGUUCAAGAGAUCUUCCCACCUCAGCCUCCCAUGUAGCUGGGACUACAGGUGCAUGCCACCAUGCCCAGCUAAUUUUUAUAUUUUUUAUAGAAACUAGGUUUCACCAUGUUGGCCAGGCUGGUCUCAAAAUCCCAAGCUCAAGUGAUCUGCCCACCUUGGCCUCCUAAAGUGCUGGGAUUACAGGCAUGAGCCCCGUGCCUGGCAGAGAGUUGUGUCUUGAUAAAAUGACCCUCAACGGUGCCCCGAGUGGAUUAAAAUCUCAAAGAACUCAGAAGUGAAAAGAAGAUGAUGUGCUUCGGAAAACAGAGUUAGAAGACUCAAGAAGUGGUUCUUGAUAAUGGCACCAAUGUUGAUGACACAGGUGAUGGAUGUGAGUAAAGGGACCCGAAUGUGAAGCGGAAGAAGCAUGUCUUCUAAAUUAAUGCAUUGCAUGAGGGUGAGUCAACCGCUGCACCAUCAACCCAGACAUUUACGAGAGGUGGCGCCAUGGGUUUCUUCUUUACACAAGUUCUAGUUGGGUGUGUGUGGGUGGUCUUCCACAUGGUGACUCAGGGCCCAGGCCCUUUCCUUGUGGGGGAUUCACCAUCACCUAGGCUCCAGUGUCUGGGGAGGAUUCCUGGCAUCCAGCCAGAAGAUGGGGAAGACUUGGGAAGGCUGGGUGUGGGGAGUUUCCAAGGCCCACCAUUAUGUCCCAAUCUCAUUGCACAGUCUCUGUCAUGUGAUUGUCCUGACUGCCAGGGAGGCUGGGAAAUGGAGACAACCUGUACUGUCAGGAGUAAGAGGAAGCAAUUUGAUGAACAACUGGCAUGUCUCUAUCCCAUACCCUGUCUUAUCUCACUUUUGAUUUCAAAAUGCAUUUCUAAUUUAAUCAAUGAAUUAUAUUUUAUAAGCACUCUUGUGACUUUUCCAUCCACAAUCAAAACAUUUACAUCUUCAAGAUGGAUAAAAAGCAUUUUAGAGGAUCCAGCUGGACAUUUCCCUGUAUUUACGGUUCCCUUGUAUGUAAGGCACAAGUGUUAGUUCUUGGUUUGGAAAGAUGUUUGCAUUAGAUUCAGUGAAAAAAGCAAGUUAAAGAGCUCACACCUACAGAGUUCCUACUGUCGCCCACACAUCAACAACUCGGGAGGUGAGUGGCUUGGCUGGAGGGUUCAGCGUGGGACCCCCACAGUGUGGCUUCAGCAUUUAUUGCCUCCUGUGACCACACGGGAGGUAAAAGAUGAUUUUUCUGUGAAAAAAAAUGUGUAUAUGCAUGGAAAAAUAUGUAUAAGGAAACACCCCAAAAUAUUAAUAGUGACAAUUCCUUGAGAAUAGAAGGGGAAAAUUUUAGCAAAAUAUUAGUAAACAUUUUAUUGCCCAUACAUACUGAAAAGUGCACCAAUUGUGAACGUCCAGCUUGAUGAAUUUUCACAAAUGAAAUUCCCAUGUCUAAUCAGCACCCGAUUAAGCCAUAGAACAUUCCAGACCCCCUUCCAGGCCCUCCCUCCUCUCCCAAGGGUGGCCAGCCCAGCUCCGAAUGCCCCAGGCUAGUUUCCAAGGUUGUGGCCUCUGAGUCAUCAUAAACGGAGUCUCCCAGGGUCUGGCCUCUUGCACACAGACUUGUGCUGUGAGAGUCAUCCUUGCUGUGUGUGCACGAAGCUGUUCAUUUCCUUGCUGUAUAGUGGAGCAGAGGCGAUUUCAACUUUCCUGUAUGAUGAUUUAUAUUUCUCAUUAAUCUACAGUGAAUAUAUGUUGCUUGCAUAAGAAAAGAAAUUUUCAAAAAUCAAAUGGAGAAAAAAAACAAGUUGAUUUUCCAACAACAAAAACCCAGCGCUGUCCUGGGACCUCUGGUCCAGGAAAAGCUGCAAAACAUACCAUUUCUGGCCUCGGCCGGCCUGUCUGUCUGUCGGCAGCGUCACCGCAGGCGGCUCCUCUCGGGUCCCAUGAUCCAACUCCAGCAGGCAGAUGAGGCCUGGAGCCAGGCGGGAGGCAGCCCAGCUCCAGCUAAAUAUACGUGUGGGAGGCUCCUCCCGGCCUGUGGGUCCUUCCUGGCCCUUUUCUUUCCCACUAAAGCCGGAGGUUCGGGAGAACAAAGGCAGCUCCCCUGAAAGAGCCAAGGCCAGGCGGGAGGUGCCCUGGAGAGUGGCCGAGCCCGAGAGCCGGGGCAGGGCUGCCUCAGACCAGAGAGCCGGCCCUGCCAGCCAUCGGCCGUGGAAGAAGGCGUGCAGCUUACGCAGACCUCGGGUGAUUUUGGAGCAAAGCUCCCAGCACUUAGCUGACACGGAAAGGCCUCUGCAGCCUGGAGGACAUGUGGGGUUCCCCCUCUCCUCCGAGGCCAGGCUGCGGGCAGGCGUUCUAGAGCCUCCCGGUCUCCCACACCACCCACGCCCCGUGAGCUUGCAGGAGCCGCCUGUCUCCUGGAGUCCUUCCUCCGGACUGUGGCAUGAGCACACGCGCUAGAUACACGCUGGCCUUCUUGCCUUCCUAGCAUGGGAAGGAGCUAGAACCCAGGGAAAGAUGGCGGGCCAGAGCGUCCCUCUGCCGCGUGGCUCAGGGGAAAAAGCUCUGCUCACAUCUCCAGGAUCUGCCUUGGAGGCUCAGGAGGAGGUGGGUGCGGAGCCAGCCAGAGGGCUUUGCAUCCCAGCCCCACUGGCCACCACCUGUGUGGCCAUAGGAAAACCACUUUGCCUCUAGAGCCUCAGGUCCCUCAUCUGUAAAAUGGGGAUGAUUGUAGGACCCGAAUUAUAGGGUCGUGAGAAUUAAGUGGGUUAAAAAAAAAUAAAACUCUUAGAACA